RNAcentral lists this ribosomal RNA (207 nucleotides) under uncultured bacterium. Its description in RNAcentral is "partial 16S ribosomal RNA". It matches the Rfam family "Bacterial small subunit ribosomal RNA", at positions 568 to 774 of the family's 1533-position model. The record is from RNAcentral.
CUCGUAGGCGGUUCGUCGCGUCCGGUGUGAAAGUCCAUCGCUUAACGGUGGAUCCGCGCCGGGUACGGGCGGGCUUGAGUGCGGUAGGGGAGACUGGAAUUCCCGGUGUAACGGUGGAAUGUGUAGAUAUCGGGAAGAACACCAAUGGCGAAGGCGACUUUCUGGACUGUAACUGACGCUGAGGCUCGAAAGCCAGGGGAGCGAACG